GAUGAAGAACGCAGCGAAAUGCGAUACGUAAUGUGAAUUGCAGAAUUCAGUGAAUCAUCGAAUCUUUGAACGCAUAUUGCGCUCUCUGGUAUUCCGGAGAGCAUGCUUGUUUGAGUAUCAGUAAACACCUCAACUCCCUUUCUUCUUGAAAUGGAGCUGGACUUGAGUGAUCCCAACGCUUUAUUCAUAAAGUGGCGGGUUACUUGAAAUGCAGGUGCAGCUGGACUUUUCUCUGAGCUAUAAGCAUAUCUAUUUAGUCUGCCUCAAAACAGAUUAUUACCUUUGCUGCAGCUAACAUAAAGGAGAUUAGUUCUUGUGCUGACUGAUGCAGGAUUCACAAAGACCGCUUCGGCUGUCUUUGUAAACUCGAUCUCAAAUCAAGUAAGACUACCCGCUGAACUUAAGCAUAUCAAUAGCGGAGGA
RNAcentral lists this unclassified non-coding RNA (423 nucleotides) under soil metagenome. Its description in RNAcentral is "partial contains 5.8S ribosomal RNA, internal transcribed spacer 2, and large subunit ribosomal RNA". The stretch from base 1 to 120 matches the Rfam family "5.8S ribosomal RNA", at positions 35 to 154 of the family's 154-position model. The record is from RNAcentral.